Small nuclear RNA from Capra hircus (goat), 117 nucleotides. Its record names the gene U5. It matches the Rfam family "U5 spliceosomal RNA". From Rfam's summary of the family: U5 RNA is a component of both types of known spliceosome. The record is from Ensembl. NCBI's taxonomy places the organism in Eukaryota, Metazoa, Chordata, Mammalia, Artiodactyla, Bovidae.
AUACUCUGGUUUCUUUUCAGAACAUAUAACUCUUUCGCCUUUUAUUAAAGAUUUCUGUGGAGAAAAGCAAUUCUGAGUUUUUAAUCCAACUUUUUGAGGCCCUGCACUUGCAAGGCU